Molecule: ribosomal RNA, 586 nt
Filed under: uncultured bacterium
Lineage: Bacteria
Description: partial 16S ribosomal RNA
Rfam family: Bacterial small subunit ribosomal RNA
Source: RNAcentral
UGGGGAAUUUUGGACAAUGGGCGAAAGCCUGAUCCAGCAAUGCCGCGUGUGUGAAGAAGGCCUUCGGGUUGUAAAGCACUUUUGUCCGGAAAGAAAUCCUUGGCUCUAAUACAGUCGGGGGAUGACGGGUACCGGAAGAAUAAGCACCGGCUAACUACGUGCCAGCAGCCGCGGUAAUACGUAGGGUGCAAGCGUUAAUCGGAAUUACUGGGCGUAAAGCGUGCGCAGGCGGUUUGCUAAGACCGAUGUGAAAUCCCGGGCUCAACCUGGGAACUGCAUUGGUGACUGGCAGGCUAGAGUAUGGCAGAGGGGGGUAGAAUUCCACGUGUAGCAGUGAAAUGCGUAGAGAUGUGGAGGAAUACCGAUGGCGAAGGCAGCCCCCUGGGCCAAUACUGACGCUCAUGCACGAAAGCGUGGGGAGCAAACAGGAUUAGAUACCCUGGUAGUCCACGCCCUAAACGAUGUCAACUAGUUGUUGGGGGAUUCAUUUCCUUAGUAACGUAGCUAACGCGUGAAGUUGACCGCCUGGGGAGUACGGUCGCAAGAUUAAAACUUAAAGGAAUUGACGGGGUCAUAGCUGUUUCCU